RNAcentral lists this ribosomal RNA (839 nucleotides) under Hexagrammos lagocephalus (rock greenling). RNAcentral describes it as "partial 16S ribosomal RNA". The stretch from base 190 to 839 matches the Rfam family "Bacterial large subunit ribosomal RNA", at positions 566 to 1640 of the family's 2925-position model. The record is from RNAcentral. Lineage: Eukaryota; Metazoa; Chordata; Actinopteri; Perciformes; Hexagrammidae.
GCCUAACAGCUAGCCCAUCCAAACAAUUUCAACAAACCCCUGUUAAUAACCCCUAAAUACCCCAGUAUUUAUUUUAAACAAACCAUUUUUCCCCCCUAGUAUAGGCGAUAGAAAAGGGCCCACGGCGCAAUAGAGAAAGUACCGCAAGGGAACGCUGAAAGAGAAGUGAAACAACCCAGUAAAGCCUAAAAAAGCAGAGAUCAAAACUCGUACCUUUUGCAUCAUGAUUUAGCAAGUGUAACCCAAGCAAAGCGUACUUUAGUUUGACGUCCCGAAACUAGGUGAGCUACUCCAAGACAGCCUAUCAAUAGGGCGUACCCGUCUCUGUGGCAAAAGAGUGGGGAGAGCUUUGAGUAGAGGUGACAAACCUACCGAACCUAGUUAUAGCUGGUUGUCCAAGAAAUGAAUAGAAGUUCAGCCUUUCAGCUUCUCUUUUCACUUUAGUCUGACCCCUACUGAUGCAUUAAAGAAACCGAAAGAGUUAGUCAAAGGGGGUACAGCCCCUUUGAAUCAAGACACAACUUUACCAGGUGGGUAAAGAUCAUAAUAAUUAAAGCUAAAUGUUCUGGUGGGCCUAAAAGCAGCCAUCCCCUUAGAAAGCGUUAAAGCUCAGACAUGCGACCACCCUUCUUAUUCUGAUCACUAAAUCUUACCCCCCUAACCGUACUGGACCAUCCCAUGCCCCCAUGGGAGUGACUAUGCUGAAAUGAGUAAUAAGAGAGCUACCGGCUCUCUCCCUGCACACGUGUACAUCGGAACGGACAACCCACCGAACCUUAACGGCCCCAAAUAAAGAGGGCAGUGGAUGUCAGACCAAAAAACUAGAAAAAUAUCCAAAA